Molecule: microRNA, 27 nt
Filed under: Drosophila simulans
Lineage: Eukaryota; Metazoa; Arthropoda; Insecta; Diptera; Drosophilidae
Description: dsi-miR-978b-5p
Gene: dsi-miR-978b-5p
Source: miRBase by way of RNAcentral
UAUACGGCACUGGACACGAUUCUCGAC